UUUGCUAACAAAAACCAGACUCUGCUGCUUGUGAACAUAAGCAGAGACAGUGUUGGCGCUUUGGGCUCGUUUAUUUUCAGGGUGACGCAAACAAGUCGUAACCGUUGUUACCAUGGUAACCGCGGCCCUUGCCACGGCCACUCGACUCAUAUAGGGCUGAAAUUGAUACAGCCAGUUGAUUUUAGAGGUUUAUUUGUGAGUUGAUAUCAUUUUAAGUGGUUACUUGGUUGUGAAGUGGUUGAACUUUGGACUAAAUCAUAAAUAAAAUCUACUAUACCUACUAAUAUGUAAACAAAGAGGUUGCAAUGCCCAAUAUCAAUAUCAACAUCUUGAAGAAUCUUGGCAAUGCCCAAUCACACUGUCGGACUCUGUUCUGGAAGCCGGAGGCAUCGAUGUGAAGAUCGACGAGCCCUUCGCGGCUGGACCGAUCCUGGCGGAGGAUCUCCAGCGCGUGGCUGGUGCAGAGGUCCGCGGUGCCGCCCACUCAGAGCCCUGCAGCCUGGAAGCCGACAUAUCAUACCAGACGAUGGCUUUCGCUGCGGGCUUCGUGGCUCAAAAAUGCCGCCAUUUGGACCGCAGACUCGGAUGGACGAUGUUCGGAUGGACGAUGCAUCUGCAGAGGCCCUAUACUUCGUUCCAUAUCAAGCUCGCGGUCGGAGUGUCUUCGGUAGCUACUCCUAAGCUGCUCAAUAAUUUGCGUAUUUGAAUGUUACUAGCUGUAUGUACAGACAUCAGACACUGCUUUCAGCGGGGCACUUCGGCCGAAGGCUUGACAUGGAACAGAGCAUUAGCAUCUGUCCCCGACCCAAGAGGAUGGCUUCAAGUGGUGAGCCGCGGCCAGUUGUAUGUGCCGUCCGUCUGGUGGAUGUCAGUCGUGCAGAAGUUUGAGAUCAACUUCUCCCAGAUCACGGUGUUCUCCGCUGACCGGGAGCCGGGAAUCGUCCGGCGGAACCAUAUUUGAAUAAAGUCACAAGUGAUAACUAACAGUCUUGUCCGAUGUUAGCAUUGUCCGUCCGAUAAGAUGCUCGUUCUUUGUGCACGCGGUGAAGGUCCAGCCCCGCUUCAGCGUGUGUGGCUGUUACAGCGGCUUUGGAGGGAGCACGGGAGAGCGAGUGUGUGCCGCCACAGCGGCGCUGUAGGAGGGAGUCUGGCGCUGCGCGCACGUGUCGACGAGGUGACCAACUGUCCACAGGUGACGACGACGAUUGUUAAUAUACCACUUUUAGCAUG
Amphibalanus amphitrite is the source of this 1230-nucleotide long non-coding RNA. RefSeq lists it as uncharacterized. Lineage: Eukaryota; Metazoa; Arthropoda; Thecostraca; Balanomorpha; Balanidae. The transcript is spliced from 2 exons. The record is from RefSeq and is a predicted model, not a curated record.